CCUUCGAAACUCUUUCCGUCAAAACCCCUUUCUCAGUCCCUCGUUCUUCGUCUCCCUUUCUCAUUCCCUCGCUCUCCGGGUUUGCACGUGACGAUUCCGACAGAGAAGAGGAGGCAGUGGCACAGGUUCAAAGGGGUUCUAAUGGCGGACGCGGAAAGGAUUUCGGGGGCUGUUGGAUUUGGGCAGUGGCCUGACCUGAUGGGUUUGAGGGGACUACAAUGAGGGUGGAUCCUGCUUGAUCGGAUUGCAAUGGGCGACAUCAAUGGUCGAAGGUUUGGAUGAGGACAGGUUUUCAUCGGUUGCGACCAAGGAGAGAUGGGUUUGCAUUUUUCAAUGAGGGGACGGUGGUGGGUUUCAUGAGCAGAGAUGAUAGGUCUGAGUUGAUGCCGGAUCUGUAACACUGGCAGAUCAGAGAUGGUGACGGAUCUGAGCAUAUGUCGGGUCUGGGUCAUGUCGGAUUUGGUAAGUGAAGAUGGAGACCCGAGCUCGAGCAGUGCCAUUACUUCAGAAGGUGAUGUCAGUGGCUAUCAACAUGCUGCUAUAUCUACAUGGUAUUUGGUCUAUCAAGUUCGUCCAAUGUUCCAUAAGGCAUUUGUCCACCAUCGGUGAGGAUCUGCAGGUUUCUUUGCUAGAGUAUAUAAAAAGAGUUUCAGGGGACUUGCUCUUGAAGAGAAAGUUCAUUUCAUCUAUUGCGACUAUGAAGAAAGUAUUUGAUCAGAUUGUUAGGGACCUGGUGCUUCAAGUUGACUACUUGUGAAUCAAAUACUGCAAAUCAAAAUAUCCAUGCAUAUGGUAUCAUGCUUAUUGUAAGGGCAUUUUGCUUCUCUUGCAGGUAGAUGGUCCUGAAUGAAUACAUACUCCUGAGAUUCUGACUAUCAACGAGCAAUUUGAAAUGAACAGCAACCGGCAGGUGGAGGUCCAUUACAUAGAUACUGGAUUUCCUUUCACCAUCACUGAGAGUUUCCUGGAAUUGUUUGAAGGCCUUAGAUAUAUUCAAGCGGAUUUUGCUCUUGCAGGAGCCUUGCAGGAUCAGGAAAAUGCAUAUUGGUCGAUGCAUACGAGUCCAUACGAGUAUGGACUGUCUCGUUCAGGCGGUUCUCCAUAUUAUAGUCAUACAAACUAGAAGAAAUGCUCUUGGACAUGGAGACCAUGGAUAUUCUAGGGCAGCAGGCCUUGUUAAAAACACCUGUAAAACCCAAUGUCAGGGCGUUUGUCAAUUCCAAAAAUGAAGGCCUUAGGAAGGGCAAUUUCUAUAGGUGCCACAAAGUGCAACUCCUGCUACCAAGAAUAAUGCAUUAUCCGAUAGCAAGUUGAGGGCAUUCCAGGUUCAGAGACAGCAUGUAUGUGCUCACUAGUAUCAGCAUUCAUCUAAUCUGUGUAAUUUAUUAGUUUCAAAAAGGAAAAAAAAAUAAAAAUAAAUCUGUGUAAUUUAUUAUGAGCUUCAUGCCUUCCCUUUUGAGAGGAGUCUAAUUCAAUUCGGCCAAUGUGAUGAUCCUCUUUUGUCAUAGGAGAGCUUAGAUGCUCUUAUGAAAUGUGUGGUCCAAAAUAUUGGUUCAGUCUGAUUGGGGUUUUUAUUUGUUAUUGAUUUACUUUUGGUCAUAGCCUGACGGAAAUUUU
This is an RNA transcript of Magnolia sinica, 1617 nucleotides long. RefSeq lists it as uncharacterized. The record is from RefSeq and is a predicted model, not a curated record. NCBI's taxonomy places the organism in Eukaryota, Viridiplantae, Streptophyta, Magnoliopsida, Magnoliales, Magnoliaceae. The transcript has 8 exons.